Long non-coding RNA from Gasterosteus aculeatus aculeatus (three-spined stickleback), 1415 nucleotides. Lineage: Eukaryota; Metazoa; Chordata; Actinopteri; Perciformes; Gasterosteidae. The record is from Ensembl.
UUUGCACUCUGAAAAGUAUUCAAUCGGAAGCAGCAGAAACGGAUAUUUAAUAUUUUCUUUGAUCCGAGUAGUCUUCAACUGGCUCAAAAGCUGGCGCCUACAAACCCCACAAUGCAGUUCGUGUGUAGACGUCGGAGAGAACUUUUCAAAGCAAGAACAUAAAAUAUUCAAGGAAUGCCCUCAAUUGGCUCUAACGUAGAACUCUUGAUGAGAAAUAUUUGCGCCCAGGAGGAUCCAUAAUUGAAUCUAGCAGGAGAUUAAGUAGGUCAGCUGCAAGAUGGGUUGGUGGGUUUGGGGAAGGAAAUCUGUUCCACUUUGGAAUAAUGGACCGAUUUAACAGCAUCCAUCAAAAUGACUGAAAACAACUUCCAAGCCCAAAAACAACAACUAAAAAGCAAAAGGCUGCAUAAAAAAAAUAUUUCAAAACAUCCUCUGAAAUGCAUAAAUUAAAAAGAGAUCAAAACGAUGCCAAGUAAUGUAAUGUUCGAAUAUAUAAAUGCACUUGAUCUUCUUCAAUGCCACUGCUAACCCCAUUGAGGCGUGCAGGCAGCACAGAUCCAAUGUUAAAGGAGGCUAAUUACUCCCAGUAUCUCCCACACUCCAGGGAGGCGAGGUCAUCCGGAGGACAGGCAUGUGAAACAUUCCUGCAGCCUGCUGCUGCCGGACCUCCCUCUCAGUCUCGGUCUCUCCCUGUCCUCCUUUUCUGCUCCUUCGCCCGUCCUCCCCCGGCACCUCGUCCCCGUCCUCUUCCCUCUGUCCCAUUUAGCACCGCACCAUUUUUUGUGUUGUUUUGUUCUUGCUCUCCAUCGUGAUCGCUCAAGUCAAUUGUCUUCCUCCUGUGGUAGGAGUGCAUCUAUUCAGCCAUUCAUCAAUCACAUUAUGUGGGAUGUGACAUGGUGAUUUGUUCUGAUCAAACAACAGCUCUGGAAGGUUGUGCUAAUGGCGCUCAGAAGAAAAGAAAGUGGAAGCGUGCUAAUGCUUGCAAAGACAAUGCUACCUUACUGACAUUUAACUGCUAUAAUGUUUUCCAACUGUACCUUCAAGUUACUGUUACUAAACUUGAUUUGAGGUAUUGUUGUAUAUUUAGAACUGUAUGAAUGCACAUUUUCCUCUCCAUUACGGUAGCUUUGCGGCGCCUAAUGCAAGCUAUUCUGAAAUAAGUACUCAGAACUUCUGACCCUCACUCGACCGUAGUCCCAAAAGAACAAAUGCACAGGUGUUUCCCGUACCUUCUUUGUGAGGAUGUAAAGACACUUGUUUUCCAAUGUGAGUAUUUGGGCCCAAAGUCAUCAGGUGAAGGAACUGGAAGAUGUACUUCAAAGCCAUGUUAUGCUGUUGCUGUGGUUUGGCGCACCCCCGUGUGGUUGUUCUUUUCAUGCCUAAACCCAACAAAUAAAACCAGAGAAGAGGUAAAA